GGGGGCGUGGCGAAGUCUGGUUAUCGCGCCGGCCUGUCAAGCCGGAGACCGCGGGUUCAAACCCCGUCGCUCCCG
This is a non-coding RNA of Spirochaetes bacterium RBG_16_67_19, 75 nucleotides long. The record is from Rfam. NCBI's taxonomy places the organism in Bacteria, Pseudomonadati, Spirochaetota.